This 173-nucleotide non-coding RNA is filed under the name marine eukaryotic metagenome. RNAcentral's name for it is "6S / SsrS RNA". It matches the Rfam family "6S / SsrS RNA". From Rfam's summary of the family: E. coli 6S RNA was the first non coding RNA to be sequenced, but its function was unknown until recently. It consists of 184 nucleotides that fold into an extended hairpin structure with a large single-stranded internal bulge. The 6S RNA specifically associates with RNA polymerase holoenzyme containing the sigma70 specificity factor. The record is from RNAcentral.
AACUGAUGUACACGAUAUUGUUGUUAUAUCUUUGUUCCUAAUUUUUUAAAAGGGAUUAAGUUACUAAAAUCUGGUGUGCAAACCUAUUAUUUAGGAAGCCUAAAGUUUUAAACUUAGACCCACCUGAACUCAACGGUUCAAGGAAAAUUAAUAAUAACGGUACAUCGGUUUUU